This 487-nucleotide ribosomal RNA is filed under the name uncultured bacterium. Its description in RNAcentral is "partial 16S ribosomal RNA". It matches the Rfam family "Bacterial small subunit ribosomal RNA", at positions 28 to 507 of the family's 1533-position model. The record is from RNAcentral.
GAUGAACGCUAGCGAUAGGCUUAACACAUGCAAGUCGAGGGGCAGCACAAGGUAGCUUGCUAUCUGGGUGGCGACCGGCGCACGGGUGCGUAACGCGUAUGCAACUUGCCCUAUACAGGAGGAUAACCCGUCGAAAGACGGACUAAUACUGCGUAUGCUCACAACUCGGCAUCAAGUGGUGAGGAAAGAAAUUCGGUAUAGGAUAGGCAUGCGUCCCAUUAGCUUGUUGGUGAGGUAACGGCUCACCAAGGCAACGAUGGGUAGGGGAACUGAGAGGUUUAUCCCCCACACUGGUACUGAGACACGGACCAGACUCCUACGGGAGGCAGCAGUGAGGAAUAUUGGUCAAUGGGCGCGAGCCUGAACCAGCCAAGUCGCGUGAAGGAUGACUGUCUUAUGGAUGGUAAACUUCUUUUAUACGGGAAUAACAAGAGUCACGGGUGACUCCCUGCAUGUACCGUAUGAAUAAGCAUCGGCUAACUCCGUG